UGAAAUGCUAAGAAAGAGAGUAGUACGUUUUUAACCACCAUUCAGGGAGAAGGUGCCUUAGACUGAAAGCAUCUUUAUGGAAGGAAAAGCCGAAUUCGCUCUGGAGCAGGCACUGGACCACAAGUCUUUCUUGUGAAGGUGAUCCCGGUUUCGACCGUUAGAGCAAUGAAGAUAAUGGAGGGAGAAAUCCCUUCAUUAAUAAGGGUGGUACCACGAGUCUUCGUCCCUUUU
This 231-nucleotide non-coding RNA is filed under the name Halalkalibacter okhensis. RNAcentral's name for it is "Bacillus okhensis T-box sequence". It matches the Rfam family "T-box leader". From Rfam's summary of the family: Uncharged tRNA acts as the effector for transcription antitermination of genes in the T-box leader family. T-boxes are found upstream of many aminoacyl-tRNA synthetase genes and some amino acid biosynthetic genes usually in Gram-positive bacteria. The anticodon of a specific tRNA base pairs to a specifier sequence within the T-box motif, and the NCCA acceptor tail of the tRNA base pairs to a conserved bulge in the T-box antiterminator hairpin. Lineage: Bacteria; Bacillati; Bacillota; Bacilli; Caryophanales; Bacillaceae. The record is from RNAcentral.